AAUUUUAUUGAUUUGGGCCCUCUCACUUUUUUUCCUGAUUAGUCUGGCUAAAGGUUUAUCAAUUUUGUUUAUCUUUUCAAAGAACCAGCCUUUACUUUCAUUGAUUGUUUUCUGUUGUUUUCUUACUGUCUAUUUCAUUUAUUUUUGCUGUGAUCUUAUGAUUUCUUUCCUUCGACUAACUUUCGGUUUUGUUUGUUCUUCUUUGUCUAGUUGCUUUAGGUGUAGGGUUAGGUUGUUUGAGAUUUUGCUUUUUUCCUGAGGUAACCUUGUAUUGCUAUAAACUUCCCUCUUAGAACUGCUUUUGCUCAAAAGUUUUGAUCGAAGAGGACAAAAGAAGAAAGGAAGAAAAAAGAACUACAAAAACAAAUCUAGGAAAUUCCCUGGCAGUCACGUGGUUAGGACUUGACACUUUGACUGCCAUGGGCUGUGAUUUGAUUUCCUGGUCAGGGAACUAAGAUCCCAAAAGCCGAGUGGAGUGGCACAGCCAAAGCAAAAACAAACAAACAAAAAAACAAAUCCAAACAAUUAGCAAAAAAGGAUAAGUAAUUUCUUAGUGUCUUUUGUCUGUUUUUCUAAGGAAGCAUUAGGGAUGUUUCUUAUUUAAGUGAAGCCAAAUAAAGAGAUAAUUUUUAGGACAAUUAAUUAUCAAAACUUUUUGUUGCACAUGAGGGAACACCGGUUCAAAUGACCUUCAGCCAAAGAGGGUUAAAAGAAAGAAGGAGGAAUCACUGGAACAUUUGGCACACAGACCAGGUUCUAUCUGGAACACACAACUGCCCAGAUGAAGUCACCAGGUAUUCACUAUCUUUAGUACCGGUUCUCCCCAGAAGGGUUCCUGUGAAAUCAACUACUCACAGAAAAUUAUGAACAGAAUUGGAAAGCAGUGCCAUGCCCAAGAAGAUAAUAAAUCCAGUUUCUCUGCGGCUUCUAAAUACAGGAUGGUGAACCGCAGGAGAUAAAACUAGGGCAUGUCCUGGAAAUAAACUUGUGCUGGCCUGGCUGGCCCGAGGAGCAUGUGAUGACUCCCUGAACAGUGGAAAGACAUUGAUGAUUCCUGAGUGUGGAAGGAGGAAGGCAUCACAGUUAUAUUUCAGGAAGGUAAGUCCGAAAUCACCGAGUGGGAACGAAACAAGACUUAAGGAACCAGUUGUAGAGAUGAUUAUAAUUCCGUGAGAGGAUUUGAGGGUCUGAAUUAAAGUAAUGGUGGAGAACAGAUAUCGCUGAAUGUCCUUUUAAAGGCUUCUUAGGAGCAUCCAAGAGCUGUACUGACCCUAUGGAUCCAUCCACAGAGGGAUGGAUAAAGAAGAUGUGGUACAUAUACGCACAAUGGAAUACUACCCAGCCAUGAAAAAGAAUGAAAUAACGCCAUUUGCAGGAACACGGAUUGACCUUGAGAUUAUCAUACUAAGUGAAGUAAGCCAGACAGAGAAGGACAAGUAUCUCAUGAUAUCACUUACAUGUGGAAUCUAAGAAAAAUUAUACAAAUGAACUUAUUCACAAAACAGAAACAGACUCAGACAUAGAAAACAAACAUGGUUACGAAAGGGGAAGAGGUGGGGAGGGGUAAAUUAACAGUUUCGGAUUAACAAAUACACACUAUUAUAUAUAAAAUAGUCAACAAGGACCUACUGUAUAGCACAGGGAACUCCACCCAAU
Physeter macrocephalus (sperm whale) is the source of this 1656-nucleotide long non-coding RNA. Lineage: Eukaryota; Metazoa; Chordata; Mammalia; Artiodactyla; Physeteridae. The record is from Ensembl.